AGUGAACGCUGGCGGUAGGCCUGACACAUGCAAGUCGAACGGCAGCACAGUAAGAGCUUGCUCUUACGGGUGGCGAGUGGCGGACGGGUGAGGAAUACAUCGGAAUCUACUUUUUCGUGGGGGAUAACGUAGGGAAACUUACGCUAAUACCGCAUACGACCUACGGGUGAAAGCAGGGGAUCUUCGGACCUUGCGCGAUUGAAUGAGCCGAUGUCGGAUUAGCUAGUUGGCGGGGUAAAGGCCCACCAAGGCGACGAUCCGUAGCUGGUCUGAGAGGAUGAUCAGCCACACUGGAACUGAGACACGGUCCAGACUCCUACGGGAGGCAGCAGUGGGGAAUAUUGGACAAUGGGCGCAAGCCUGAUCCAGCCAUACCGCGUGGGUGAAGAAGGCCUUCGGGUUGUAAAGCCCUUUUGUUGGGAAAGAAAAGCAGCAGGUUAAUACCACGCUGUUCUGACGGUACCCAAAGAAUAAGCACCGGCUAACUUCGUG
RNAcentral lists this ribosomal RNA (492 nucleotides) under uncultured bacterium. RNAcentral's name for it is "partial 16S ribosomal RNA". It matches the Rfam family "Bacterial small subunit ribosomal RNA", at positions 29 to 507 of the family's 1533-position model. The record is from RNAcentral.